RNAcentral lists this ribosomal RNA (503 nucleotides) under uncultured bacterium. Its description in RNAcentral is "partial 16S ribosomal RNA". It matches the Rfam family "Bacterial small subunit ribosomal RNA", at positions 30 to 523 of the family's 1533-position model. The record is from RNAcentral.
AUUGAACGCUGGCGGCAGGCUUAACACAUGCAAGUCGAGCGGGGUGAUGGUGCUUGCACUAUCACUUAGCGGCGGACGGGUGAGUAAUGCUUAGGAAUCUGCCUAUUAGUGGGGGACAACAUCUCGAAAGGGAUGCUAAUACCGCAUACGUCCUACGGGAGAAAGCAGGGGAUCACUUGUGACCUUGCGCUAAUAGAUGAGCCUAAGUCGGAUUAGCUAGUUGGUGGGGUAAAGGCCUACCAAGGCGACGAUCUGUAGCGGGUCUGAGAGGAUGAUCCGGCCAACUGGGAAUGAGACACGGCCCCGACUCCUACGGGAGGCAGCAGUGGGGAAUAUUGGACAAUGGGGGGAACCCUGAUCCAGCCAUGCCGCGUGUGUGAAGAAGGCCUUAUGGUUGUAAAGCACUUUAAGCGAGGAGGAGGCUCUUUUGGUUAAUACCCAAGAUGAGUGGACGUUACUCGCAGAAUAAGCACCGGCUAACUCUGUGCCAGCAGCCGCCGUAA